UACGUAGGGGGCAAGCGUUAUCCGGAUUUACUGGGUGUAAAGGGAGCGUAGACGGCUGUGCAAGUCUGAAGUGAAAGGCGGGGGCUCAACCCCCGGACUGCUUUGGAAACUGUUUGACUGGAGUGCAGGAGAGGUAAGUGGAAUUCCUAGUGUAGCGGUGAAAUGCGUAGAUAUUAGGAGGAACACCAGUGGCGAAGGCGACUUUCUGGACAGUAACUGACGUUGAGGCACGAAAGUGUGGGGAGCAAACAGG
Molecule: ribosomal RNA, 253 nt
Filed under: uncultured Eubacteriales bacterium
Lineage: Bacteria; Bacillati; Bacillota; Clostridia; Eubacteriales
Description: uncultured Clostridiales bacterium partial 16S ribosomal RNA
Rfam family: Bacterial small subunit ribosomal RNA
Source: RNAcentral